This 449-nucleotide ribosomal RNA is filed under the name uncultured soil bacterium. RNAcentral describes it as "bacterial SSU rRNA". It matches the Rfam family "Bacterial small subunit ribosomal RNA", at positions 26 to 521 of the family's 1533-position model. The record is from RNAcentral.
AGAACGAACGCUGGCGGCAUGCCUAACACAUGCAAGUCGAACGAGACCUUCGGGUCUAGUGGCGCACGGGUGCGUAACGCGUGGGAAUCUGCCCUUAGGUUCGGAAUAACAGUUAGAAAUGACUGCUAAUACCGGAUAAUGACGUAAGUCCAAAGAUUUAUCGCCUAGGGAUGAGCCCGCGUAGGAUUAGCUAGUUGGUGGGUAAAAGCCUACCAAGGCGACGAUCCUUAGCUGGUCUGAGAGGAUGAUCAGCCACACUGGGACUGAGACACGGCCCAGACUCCUACGGGAGCAGCAGUGGGGAAUAUUGGACAAUGGGACGAAAGCCUGAUCCAGCAAUGCCGCGUGAGUGAUGAAGGCCUUAGGUUGUAAAGUCUCGUUUACCCGGGAUGAUAAUGACAGUACCGGAGAAUAAGCUCCGGCUAACGUCCGUAGCCAGCAGCCGACGU